UAAGCGGAGGAAAAGAAACUAACUAGGAUUCCCUUAGUAACGGCGAGUGAACCGGGAAAAGCUCAAAUUUGUAAUCUGGCUGUCUUCGAUAGUCCGAGUUGUAAUCUAUAGACGUGUUUUCCGUGCUGGACCGUAUCUAAGUCCCUUGGAACAGGGUAUCAAAGAGGGUGACAAUCCCGUGCUUGAUACGACCACCAGUGCUCUGUGAUACACGCUCUACGAGUCGAGUUGUUUGGGAAUGCAGCUCAAAAUGGGUGGUAAAUUCCAUCUAAAGCUAAAUAUUGGCGAGAGACCGAUAGCGAACAAGUACCGUGAGGAAAGAUGAAAAGCACUUUGGAAAGAGAGUUAAACAGUACGUGAAAUUGUUGAAAGGGAAACGAUUGAAAUCAGUCGUGUUCUUUGGAUUCAGCUAGUUCUUCUAGUCUACUUCCAUUGAACGGGUCAACAUCAGUUUUGUCCGGUGGAUAAAGAUAGUAGGAAUGUAGCUCCCCCGGGAGUGUUAUAGACUAUUAUUGCAUACACUGGGUGAGACUGAGGACUGCAGCUCGCCUUUUGGCCGGUCUUCGGACACGUUCGAGCUUAGGAUGUUGACAUAAUGGCUUUAAACGACCCGUCUUGAAACACG
This 625-nucleotide ribosomal RNA is filed under the name Cutaneotrichosporon dermatis. RNAcentral describes it as "eukaryotic LSU rRNA". It matches the Rfam family "Eukaryotic large subunit ribosomal RNA", at positions 47 to 663 of the family's 3401-position model. The record is from RNAcentral. Lineage: Eukaryota; Fungi; Basidiomycota; Tremellomycetes; Trichosporonales; Trichosporonaceae.